UGGGAACGUACCCUUUGGUUCGGAACAACCCAGGGAAACUUGGGCUAAAUACCGGAUACGUCCGUAAGGAGAAAGAUUUAUCGCCAAGGGAUCGGCCCGCGUCUGAUUAGCUAGUUGGUGGGGUAAUGGCCCACCAAGGCUACGAUCAGUAGCUGGUCUGAGAGGAUGAUCAGCCACAUUGGGACUGAGACACGGCCCAAACUCCUACGGGAGGCGG
This 217-nucleotide ribosomal RNA is filed under the name uncultured bacterium. RNAcentral describes it as "partial 16S ribosomal RNA". It matches the Rfam family "Bacterial small subunit ribosomal RNA", at positions 118 to 351 of the family's 1533-position model. The record is from RNAcentral.